UACGAAGGGGGCUAGCGUUGCUCGGAAUCACUGGGCGUAAAGCGCACGUAGGCGGCUUUUUAAGUCAGGGGUGAAAUCCUGGAGCUCAACUCCAGAACUGCCUUUGAUACUUAGAAGCUUGAGUCCGGGAGAGGUGAGAGGAACUGCGAGUGUAGAGGUGAAAUUCGUAGAUAUUCGCAAGAACACCAGUGGCGAAGGCGGCUCACUGGCCCGGUACUGACGCUGAGGUGCGAAAGCGUGGGGAGCAAACAGG
Molecule: ribosomal RNA, 253 nt
Filed under: uncultured bacterium
Lineage: Bacteria
Description: partial 16S ribosomal RNA
Rfam family: Bacterial small subunit ribosomal RNA
Source: RNAcentral